UACGGGGGGGGCAAGCGUUGUUCGGAAUUACUGGGCGUAAAGGGCUCGUAGGCGGCCAACUAAGUCGGAUGUGAAAUCCCCAAGCUUAACUUGGGAACUGCAUCCGAUACUGGAUGGCUUGAAUCCGGGAGAGGGAUGCAGAAUUCCAGGUGUAGCGGUGAAAUGCGUAGAUAUCUGGAGGAACACCGGUGGCGAAGGCGGCAUCCUGGACCGAUACUGACACUGAGGAGCGAAAGCCAGGGGAGCAAACGGG
Molecule: ribosomal RNA, 253 nt
Filed under: uncultured bacterium
Lineage: Bacteria
Description: partial 16S ribosomal RNA
Rfam family: Bacterial small subunit ribosomal RNA
Source: RNAcentral